GACGAACGCUGGCGGCGUGCUUAACACAUGCAAGUCGAACGGAAAGGCCCUGCUUUUGUGGGGUGCUCGAGUGGCGAACGGGUGAGUAACACGUGAGUAACCUGCCCUUGACUUUGGGAUAACUUCAGGAAACUGGGGCUAAUACCGGAUAGGAGCUCCUGCUGCAUGGUGGGGGUUGGAAAGUUUCGGCGGUUGGGGCUGGACUCGCGGCUUAUCAGCUUGUUGGUGGGGUAGUGGCUUACCAAGGCUUUGACGGGUAGCCGCCCUGGGAGGGUGACCGGCCCCAGGGGGCUGGGGGACCGGCCCGGACGCCUACGGGGGGAAGCGGGGGGAACUUUGCCACAAGGGGCGGAGGCCGGAGGCAGCACCGCCGCGUGCGGAAGGCCGGCUUUCGGGUGGUAACCCGUUUUCGCCUGUGAGGAGGCGUGGUGGCGGGAAAUGGUUAAAGAGGCACCGCCAACUUCCUG
RNAcentral lists this ribosomal RNA (467 nucleotides) under uncultured bacterium. Its description in RNAcentral is "partial 16S ribosomal RNA". It matches the Rfam family "Bacterial small subunit ribosomal RNA", at positions 28 to 507 of the family's 1533-position model. The record is from RNAcentral.